UCGCCUGUUUUACAAAAACAUGUCUGUGUGAAGGUUUACAGAGUCUGGCCUGCCCAUUGAAAUAUAUAAAAGGCCGCGGUAUAUUAACUGUGCAAAGGUAGCAUAAUCAUUAGUUUUUUAAUUGGAGGCUUGUAUGAAAGGUCGGACAAAGGAUAAGCUGUCUUUAUUUUUAUUUUUGAAUUUGUCUUUUAAGUGAAAAGACUUAAAUAAAUUUAAGGGACGAUAAGACCCUAUAAAUCUUUAUAUUAAGUUAUUUUUAUAUUAAUUUAUAAUGUAGAUGAAAAUAGAAAUAUAUAAUAUUAUAUUGGGGUGAUAAGAAUAAAAAAUAAACUGUUCUAAUUUAAAAACAAAGUUGUUUGAAAAUAAUAGAUCCUUUUUAAAGAGAAAAAGUUUAAGUUACUUUAGGGAUAACAGCGUUAUUUUUUUUGAGAGUUCAAAUCGAAAAAAAAGUUUGCGACCUCGAUGUUGAAUUAAAAUUUUCUUUAUGGUGUAGUAGUUAUAAGAGAGAGUCUGUUCGACUUUUAAAAUUUUACAUGAUUUGAGUUCAGACCG
This 552-nucleotide ribosomal RNA is filed under the name Galathea rostrata. RNAcentral's name for it is "partial 16S ribosomal RNA". It matches the Rfam family "Bacterial large subunit ribosomal RNA", at positions 1796 to 2618 of the family's 2925-position model. Lineage: Eukaryota; Metazoa; Arthropoda; Malacostraca; Decapoda; Galatheidae. The record is from RNAcentral.